AAGAGCGGUGUUUACUAUAGUUAUGUAUUUUGAGGUAGUGUUGUGCAUUGCAACAUACAAAGGUGAUCAUUGCUGCUUAUUGGUCAGAAGAGGUGGUUUUCCAUUGUACUUUGUCCAGCAAAACAAGUAGUACUGCUCAGCCAAAUUCCCUCCUGGAGCAGUUUAGUUUGCAGCCACCCUGGGGUAAACAUGUGAGGGUGGAUGUAUGGGGGUGGCUGCUGGGCACUGAUGGUUUGAGCCAGGUGAAAAGCUAUAACAAAGAAAAAAGCUUCCAGAAAGAAGGUAUGCUCUGUACUGCGAUCUGAAUAUACAAUAAGGACAUCUUCAAGAAGUGUUCAGGAAAUGAAAUUAACAUUUUAUUUAUUUAUUUAUUUAUUUUAUUUAUUGUUUGCAGGAAACUGAAAACUUUCUUUUCUUGCUCUCCUUAAUUGGUAGGAGACAACUAUUUUAACAAUAAUAAUCUAUUACCAUUUAAAAAAUAUAUGAAUGCAAUUUUGUCCCCAUGCACCCCAAACAGUGCUCAGGGAAUGUCUCAGAUACUACGCAUUAAGAAUCUGGACUGUUGUCGGAAACCUAAACUAUUCUGAGUUAGACAAAUAUCCCCAUUUUAGAGAAAAAAGUAUCCUGAUGCACAACGAAUGAAUCCAGAACAAUUAAUCAUAGGACAUAUCUGGGGCCACAGCCAGAUCCUCUGACUCACAGUGCUUCCUUUUAGUUGAGUUUAAAAAAAAGAAAAACUGAUUUAUUUUUCAUAAUUACAUCACAUAAUUAUUUAUAAAAGUCGUGCGAAAGACCAGUUAAAAAGUUGAUGCAAACUUUCUCGAGGAGUUGUUUUUUAGUUUCAUCACAACACAUGUUUUUAAAACAUUAAUAUCAUGCAUUUGUGUAGUAAACAGUUGUGGGUCUUUUUAAUGUUUUCUUUUUGGUGUCUGAAUGAAAUAUUUCUAAGUUAUUUAAAAACCUUUGAAAUUUAAUCCACUGGAAAUACUGCUUUAUCAUAUUUCCUUCUCAGUUCUGAGCUUUCAUGUUUCCAGAAAACUGGAUGACUCUGAAAAGGGACUCUAAACUCUUCGCAGCUCCUCUGGUUUAUGAAUGGCCAUUUUCCAAGACAAAAAGUGAUGCGCUUAAGAUAGGAAUGUAACUUCUAAUGAUAUUAAAAUAUAAAAGAAAAAAUAGUGCUUAAGUGUGAGUUUGGCUGUGGGUCAUUGGAAAUGUGGAAGAAUUUUAGACUUUUCAAUGCAAAUAGACAAGCUGUAUCGUUUCAAGAGGCAUAUGUGGAAACAACACAGAGCAAUGUAGAUAAGCAGUCCAAAUCAUGUGUCAGAUGGCUUUACAACAAUGGAUGACUUUCCCUAGUGCCACUCUGUCUGCAAGGAAUCCUGGAGCACUGCUUGAGAGCUGCCACAAUAUCAAGUUAACUCAUGUUGCUGGCCGCUGCCUAUUAGUCACUACUUUGAGAAGGAACAGCAGCAACAGGAUACUUGAAAAGAAGUACUGCAGCUGAUGAUUUGCAUUAUGAAAAAUGCCAACAUCUGAUCCAUUUUUUAUGUCCUUGAAUAUCUGAUCUUUGGAAAAAUUACAUGUGGAGUUCAGUAUGUUGGGCACUUGCUCCCUGAGUGAUGGAGUCCAGAAUCUGUUUAAGGAUCCCAGCAGCCCACCUCUAUUUCAUAGAAGACAACCCCUUGAGUGACAAAAACCUCUUAGAGGGGAAAAAGAACAUGAACAAUUCUAUUCCAACCAUGUUGGAAGGAGGCCACCUACGUUGUUGCUCUAAGCUGUUCCUGUAGAAUCUGAUUCCCAGGUAAUCUUCAUGUUUAUUUAAGAGAGAGAGAUCAUCCUGCUCUUACACAGAAGCUCUCUUAGCCUUUUGAGGAUGCUCCAGGCUAAUGUAUGGAGCCUAGAGGGUGGAAUUCAUAGUUAGAAAUCUAUUACCUUAUCUCCUAGUGAUUGCUCUGAGCAUCAGAAAUGUAAGAAAGGAAGGGCCCCCCAUCUCCUUCUCAGCUGAUGCUGCUCAGCUCCACACAGAAGAGCAUAUUUCUGCAGAAAGGCAGAAGCAGAGCUGUGAGUCACAAGUGAGUCAAAAGAACAAAAGCUUAGUGGGCAAAGGCUGGCAUUCUUAUGAUAUAAAAUCAGACUUUUGAGAGUUGUCUAUUUAAGUUUAACAUCCUCCAUAAUUCUUAAGUGGGAUUAAGAUGUCCAAAACAAGAUUUCUUCUUCCUUUCAUUAUUACCUACAGACAUUGUUACAGAGUUUACUAUCUGUGUAUGAGUUAGGUACAAGGUGAGGAGUUAUCAUAAGCAGCAAAUUUUCCUUGCUUGCCAAAGCUUACAAUGGAGAGCAGCUUGCCUAUCCCUGUAAUGGACGUACACGUGUAAAAGAUUUUUAAAUGGCAAAUAAUGAGCAGAGCCUUUAUUAUUCAUACCAAAUUAUUAAUUGUUCUUGUACUCUUUUUUUUUUCAGAUGAGUUUUCUGUUUCAAUUCAUUGAAACCUUUUCAUUAAGAGGAAGACAACUGUAAUAAUCUUGAAUAAUAGUAGACAAACCUGCCCCUGUUUCUUUUCUCUUUCUUUCCCAUUCUCUCUUGAUUAGUACAACAGCUAUAGAAAUGUCACUUAAAUACGUUAAAUUCAUUUUGAUCAGAUGAAUGGAUGUAUUUUAGAACCCAAUUUUUGUGUAAGUGCUUAUAUAUGCUGUCUGAGAUAAAGAAGUCAGCAAAGAGCAUCACACUAUUCAAGCGAGAUAUUUUCAGGUAAGUAAGCUGAACUGGUCAUGCACGACAUUGAAUGCUGCUGAGAAAGUCCUCAGCAAACUCUCUUCCUCCUUUUCUCCCCGCAGACAUACAAGUUCUCCGUACAUUACACAUUCAUGUUGGUAAGGAAGCCUUCAAGCCACUGUCACCUAAGCAGCAAUGAGAGUAGGCUCUAGUUAAAAUCCUUUGGCUUUCACAUUGAUAAUGAGCUGUAGGCACUGCUCUGUUGCUCUUGUUAUUUUUGUAAAGCUGUUUGGGAGCUCCCCUUAGAGAAUCUCCCCCAAGAAAAAUAUAUUGUUCUCCUUCCACCCUCUGCACAUCAGUUGUCACAUUCAAAGUUGUGUGCCAACACAGCUCAGCCUUUGUAGUCAGAAAUUCAUUUUCAAACAAUGCAUUCCAAUUCCUAGAUAAACUAGUGCGUGUUAUCCAAACCUCUAAUAUAUGUAAUUUCACAAGGAUCGGCGUAGCCAAGUACACAGAAGCCUAGAGCUGGCAUGUCAAACAAAACGUUCUAUGUUAGAAGUAAAUAUGAUUUCAUUGUGAUUGAAUAAUCAGUGUUUUGAGUGUUACUGUCUGAAGUUUUGCAGUGUAUUUCAAAGCCUAAUUUAAAAAGUACAUGCUAACACUUCCUGAUUGUCUGUAGAGCAGCUGUUUUGUGAGAUUUAAUGGCGAGUGUGAAAACCUAGCUCUGUUUAAGCCAGCUGCAUGAGUCUCUGGAGUUUUUUUGGUUUGGCAGUUUCCCACCUUCUCCUUCAGGAUACAACUUUCUCCUUCACAAUGGGACUUUCGACACCAUUGAUUCCAAUAUCUAGUUAUGUUUUAAUCUUGCAAUGACGUGUCUAUAAAAGGAUCUCUUGACAUUUUUUUCUUGGUUAACUUGGGUCAAGGUCACAUGAACAUGAUGUGGCCUGCUGAUUCUCAUGAUUUCAGUAAGAUCCAGCUGUCUUUCAGGAAAACCUUCCUCAUAAUAAAAAGAUCGUGACAGAGCUGGCUGGUGAACUGGUCAUCUUCUUUUACAGUAGUUGGUAAGUCAAAACAAGACCACAGAAGCCAUAGCUUCACUCAUUACUGAUGUUGGAGCUUAAAUUUGCGACUGCCUGCCCUUGGGUCAGAUGUUUUGUUUUGGGAGGUGUAGGUGUUUUGAUACAAGGCUAAUGAGGCUGAACUCCUUAAUCUCCUGUGAGGCAUAAGUCUCACUCAGAGAUGAUAAAUCUUUGAGCAGACUGUUACCCCACAUUCUGAUUAAUUUACUCUGUAAAGCGUUGCUGUGUGAUAUGGUUUGAGAACCAUUUUCUACCUAAUUCUUUCCUGUGCCUGGCACCAACCUUCCCUUUUUCAAAACAGCAAAAGUAGGCUGGAUCUUUACCUUUCUGUGCUAGGGCAGGGCAGAUGUGUGCAGCACAAAAAGGGACAAGACUCCUCUAAUUAUCCGCAGUAUCAGUUGUUUAUCUUCACUGCCUUUCACCCACUACCCUGCAAAAAAAAGUGUCAUUCUCUCACUAAGCAGUGUGCAGUGCCUACGUUAGUCUUAUUUCAGACAGCAGGGCUUCUCAGGUGGUGUGCAGCAGCAGAUUUGGAGCUGAGUAUGUUUAUUAUAGAUGGACUAUGCACUUUGGGCAAGUGUGAUGAAAAUUCACGACAAGGAGUUAGGAGAUCCUAUUACACAAAGCGCUUCUGUUCCAUUUAAGAUAUAAAUAUAUAUAUAUAUAGUUACCAUGUAUGAUGAUGAUGGUUACUGUCAGAAGUAAUGCUCUCUCCAUCAGGAGUAAGACCACUUUUGAGGAAGAGAAGAAGUGAAAUGACUUAUGCAGUGAGAAGGCUGGUCCUAGACUGGCUGGAAGAAUCUUUCCAUCCCUUUCCUCAGCUGUACAACAAUUUAAUAAACACCUGUUUAACACUGCAGUUUACCCAAUCUGGCUUCAAGACCUUGGACACCUGUACUACACACUGAUGUUGAUAACUACCUGGACAUUGAUUUGAUUAGGACAAAAGCCUACAAAUCCAAGUUGAUAGGUCUUGUACCCUGCACAGAACCCCUGGCUGGAUUGUGCCAAGGCUGGCAUCCCAGUGUCACAAGUGCUGCUGCUGCAUGGCCCUGCUCCCCCCAGCAAGAGCGACAACAUGAUACAUCACAGAAACCUCCAGCAAUGGCAACAUGGAUGACCAGGUGGAAGAUCGAGAGAAAAUGUGAUACGGCAACUUGAAGUCUUCAGUCACAGGUGAAUCCCAGACUGAACUUUCAUGAUCUCUAGAUGCGGAACUUUGGCCAUAUCCCUUCUGUCAAGCUUAUUCAUCUCAUAGCACUGGAUGAAAAACGUACUGAGCCAGCUGCAUCGUUAGUGACUCCUACUCAUAACACUUUGUACUUUGUGACUCAGAAUGACACGCUAAGAUCCUUCUGCCACAGGCCUAAUUGACUGGUAGCAUCCCCUGGAAGGAGUCUGAACCUCAGCUCUCUGCCCCUGUAAGCCUCCAUGGCACCAAGAACACAGGCUGAGGUCGCACCAGCAGUUUCAUACAAGCAGUGCAGAGUGUACGUGCUGUCCAUCUUCUACAUGCUGCAGCUCAGCAGAACAGAGUCCGCUGACCUGUGGAUGGAAGAGAAACCCAAAUGCAUUGUGCACAUGGGAAAUCCUUCUCUUUGGGUGGCCAUCACACCAGCACAGCCAGGUGAGAAAGAGGGGGACAAGAAAAGAAAGAAAAAACACCUAUAACUAUUUAUUUGUCCAGUUCAGACAGGCUGCAUUCAAGGGCAGUGUGCUUAAUUCUAGAUUAUUUUAAUUUGUUCUUCACCCAAGGUUUAAAUAUUCAGUGGUAAGUCAAAUGAAAGUGAAGAACAAUGAGAAAAGAGCCCCACGUUGCAAAGCAGAAAAAUCCUAAUUCAGAUUCUCAGUAGCCAGAAGAGAAGGAGACAUUGCAGGCACUGUCUUUUUGUUGGUCAGUUAUAAAGUGAGGUAACAUUUGUUUAUACUUCUUUGUUUCAUAGAGACUUGCUGAAACAGAUUCCCAAAAUGUUUACUUUUAUUAUUAAACUAGGAUGCUUUUGUGUAAGCUUGCAGAAAUAGUCACAGAAACUGAGAAGUAAAAACGCCUGCUACCACUCAUUGCUUUUGAGUAGUAUAGGAGAAAGUACAUAGGGAGCAGACCUUCGUGCUUAUUGUUGUGAUUAGGCUACAGUAACUAGCAACUAUCUGCUUGCCACAUCAAAAGUAUCUUAUCAUAUAUACCAGCUACAUGUGAGAUAGAAGAUGCUCCUGGCACAGUAAUUUCAGUUAAAGGGAUAAGAACCUCAGACAUUUUUGUACAGACAAGAGGCUGCAUGUGCCAAAUGCCACACUUAAUGGCGGUGACUGUAAGGAACACUCUAAAAUCCUGUUUUAAAUAUAAAUGCUAAGUGCUCCUGCCUUCAGUCCUAGCAUUACCUUGGGGAUUUGUAUCAAGCCCUCUGAAAAGGUAUAAAAUGAAGAUUUGGUGCUAUAAGGAACAUGUAUAUUCAGACAUUUGGUUCUAUAGGUCCUUCAAAGUAACUUUUUCUACAGCAGGUGAAGUCCAUACCUCAGUGAUACUAGCAAAAUGCUUAAUAUUGCCUUCAAGUUCCCAGGAAGAAAUAGGAAGCUAAUGUGCAUGCAGGUAAAAAGAGUUUCAGUGGAUUUCUUCUCUGCAGACAGAUCUGACGCUGACAUUUGCAAAAGGAUGCUAAGGCCUGAGGAGCAUGACUUGGAAAUUAGAUGAGAACAUCAGGAGCUGGGGGGUAGAACUUUUGAAACUCAAAGGAAAAAAAGUCACAAACAGUAUAUUAAUGUCCUUCCCCAAGGUACGAUGUUGUUUUAUCCAGCAUACCUAUUUAGCUCUUUCUAGCCUCUUGUUGUCAUUUGUGGCAGCCUUAACCUUAUUCUCUGAAAUGAUCAUGCACAGAUCAUGCGCUUCCUAUUAAUGCUGCUAAAAAUCUGCCUUGUGAAUUGAAGUGCAUUUAAAGAUUUGUCAAAAAGACAGUCCAGAAAUGUAAUAUUGUGAAUGUGUGGAGGGAGAGCUGUUAGCAGCUGCACCACGGCACCCUUCAUCUUUCAUUCUGGUCAGAGCCAUGUUGUAUGUUUGCAUUUUGCUUCAGUCUCUGCCCAGGAAUAUGGCUAUCGCUAAGGCAGCAGGUUGCAGAUGCUAUUUUCCCCCACCUGACACCAUCCUGUUCAGACAAUAAUGAAAAAGAAAUGCCCGAUGCCCCAGUAUGUUGAAUUGGUUUAAACAGUUGAGUGUAUCCAAAGAAAUGAAAAGUAGCCAAAAAAGCUCUGAAUAUCUUGGGAAACUGUAGAGUUGAAAAAGCUAUAGGUCUUAGGGCAAAACUGAUAUGUCCAUUCACAAAUUACUGUUACCUUAUCCCACUGGCUUGAGGAGAAAUUGUAAGAGCCAAGAAUGUUGGCACCUGGCUGGUAUCGUGUUUCCUCCACCUGCAUUUCGGUGAGCACCACCUGUGCCAAUGUCAGCCACCCCCAGAUGUUUACCUCCCAUCCCACACUGUUGGUGAAAGGUUUCUGGGUAUCCCAAGCAGCCAGAACCAGCCUAGAGGAAGGAGGGGACCUGGGUGCAGGGGAUGACAGAGGCCACCACCAAAUUUUGGCUCAGAACUAUUAAGCCCUGUUCAUUUCCCAGGUUGUGCCAGAGCUGGGGUGCUGCAGCCAGGGGGUUUCUCACAGAAAAAGCCCAGUGCUUUGUUAAGAGAGGGAAGGUAAAGGAGUGGUAUGCUGUGUGCAGUGUUAUGCUGUGUGCAGUGGUUCUGUUCAGAUUCAAAAUCACGGUGUCUCUAUGCCUGGGCUUAUGAGAUUUUUGGAGCUGAAGAGUGCUCUCCUUCUUAGUUUUCUUCUUGCCAUGAUCGCUGGAGACUUUUGGAUGCUGUUUGCACGUCUUUCAUCCCCUCUGCUCCUAAGGGAUUAUUUAGUCCUAACCGCCUGACAUUUACUUGGCUUUGAGUCUUAGAAUGAACAUGAAGCCAGGCGGGGAAAAAUCUUCUGGCAUAAUUUCAUCAUAGACGUGGUGAUGUUAUAGAUUAUCCUAUUUAUUUUCUUUUUCGUAUGAGUAAUAGAGCAGCAAGAGUUUAGAAAAACAGUCCUGGCAAGAAGACUCUCUUUAUGUUAAAUAAUAUUUAAAAAGCAACUUUAAGAGCAGUACUGAAAACAUUGUUCCCUUAACAGCUGCCACAUCUCCGAGGUCAGCUGCUGACCAGUAAGAUAGGAAGUGGAAACGGCUUUGGGUGUAGAAGGAGUUAGCCAACCGGAGGGUUCUGUCACCAUUUGGGGAUUGAAACAAAAUAAUAUUUCAAAUUCUUUAAUAUUAAAAUUCUUCUUUUCUUCCUCUCAGCCAGCUGGUGCAUCACGUUUCUCCAUUUCAUAGCUAAUUCAUAAUGGUUGUAAGAAAAUACUACCAUGGUAAAAGUUCCCUGAGUUGCUACAUAAGCAGAGGCCCAUGAUGAAGGAAUUGGUUUCUGAGUGUUAAGUUUUCCACAGACACGACUGGAUAUGCACUUUGCAGAUGUUUGGAAUACUGGAGUCCACACUCUCUCCUAUAGGGAAGAUCUGUUUAGUCCAAAACGGCUUAGUGUGAAGUUGCCCAAAUUACCUCUGAGUGAAUAUAAAACCUCAUUCAUAUCCUGGAUGCUAUGUACAGAAGCUAUUAAGUGCUUUGUCCAGAACAACCCUCAUUCCAGUGUAAGAUUAUGGAUCUAUAGUGAGAUUUCCCUUGGCUGAGGCAUACGUAGAGUUGAUUUCUACCCAAAAACAGGAAGUAUUGGAAAUUUAAGUAUAAUUCAGAAUUAUCAUUUCUUUGGGGGGUCGGGAGGGGAAGAGGAAAAAAGAGAGAAGUAGAGAAUAAUAAAGAAAGCAGACAAACAAACCCCCAAAGAUACAUUUGUGAGUGUAAAUAUUUUCUGCUUCUCAAGAUGAUGCUUUGAGUGAUAAACUCUCUACUCCAAUCUCUGUAUCUUAAGAAAUUGAUCUAUGUGACUGGGCUGGGAUGAGGCUGGAAGUUGCACAAAGAACUUUCAUGCAUGCAAUUAUCUGUUAAAAAUGUUGCAUUUCCAUUUUUACCUGAAAACAGGCAUCUCAGACUAGUCUCUCUAGCACAUCUGGCUCUGCUUCUUUUGUGCAAAUCUAAUACCGACAUACAGGCUUCAGUAAAUUUCUUUGACACUAAUGAAGGGAAGAAUGAGGUGACUAAUUACUUUUUGGGAAACAGAUACAUUAUAAAUGUGAAAUCCACUGGCUGUCUGAUUGUCCCACCUUGAGCAGUUCUCUUUAGCUAUCAGCCAGCAGUUUACAGGCUUUGUUCACCUCUGGUAGUGCGAAACAGUUUUGUUGCCUGGGAGCACGGUCCUCAGAGCCCAGAGUGAACUAAAUCCUCCAAUAGGUCAGAAACAUUUAUGGCUUAUUAUACAAACAGUGACAAGGAUCAAGUAAUUUGCACUGUGGGUUUUCACACGCUCUGGGGAAAUUGCUGAAAUUAUUAAAAAAUAUGGGAAAUCCUAGCAAGUAAUCCAUCACCUUCACAAAUAUUUUCCUCUUUGCAUCUAAUUCCAUGCAGAUGUGUGAGAGUCCAGGCAACUGUGCUUGUGUUUGAAUCUCUGCUGAAAGGUAUAAUACCGGUCUUGUUGAGCUCUUUAUGUUUAAAAGAAGAGGAAGUUUUCUUUCACCUUGAGGAAACUUUGGGGCAGCAAAGAUGGCACUGUGUAAGACUGGAGUGCUGCGUUAAUACAUUUGGAAGGAAACAGAUCAGCUAAAAGAUAGCAAAACACCGAAAGGUUAGACUAUGAAAAAGGUGGAAGACUUGGACUGUGACUCCAGAGGCCUUUAGGUAUAAAAUUUUUCAAACAUUUCUGUGAAAGCAGCAAAUCCGUAUUAGAUACAGUGACUAUAGCAGAUAAAUUUAGUGUAGAAACAAACUUAAUGUGGUGUUUUUCAGUAUCCUCCAGGAGGAAAGACGACUCCUAUGAAUUACAGAUUCAUGUUCAUUGCUUCUAGGUAAACCUGUAAAAAUGAUCGUCAUAAGUAAAUGUCUAAAACCCUUGGCAGUGGAUAUGAACUGAAAGAGUAAAACAGGCUUUCCUCUGAAGGAAAACUGUACCUCUUUAAAUAUCUUGAUUUUCCUUUUAAUUCACAAAAUGACAGGUAAGUAAUUAGACGAGGCAUGAAACAGGAGGUAAAGUGCUAUCAUGUUUCCCCAGGGUAGUGGACUGGAAAAAGAAGUACCUCUAAAUCUAAGCAUGCCAAAGUGCUAGCUGUGGAAUGAGCCUUGAAGAGAUUGACAGGGAGAUUUGGGGGGGCUCAUUGCUGAGUAAGCCUGAGCCAGCACAGGCACAGCUCCCAGCAGAAGGGAAACUCCGUGGUGUCUCCAGGUCCUGCACUACCAUUCAAACCCUGUUUUGUUCCCUCUCCUGAGGUAGGCUUUAAUUCUACAUGAGCGUUUCAUUUCCAUGGAAAGAUUUAUUGCAUAGAUGAUCAAGCCAGUCUUCACAUAGAAGCAGCAUAUUCCAAUGUAAGUGUCCGACAAGGUUUGUUCUCUGGUGUCAACAAGACUCAAACCUCUCUGUCGCAGACAGAUUUACUGUACUGAUCUCUUUUCCAGAUCCAUAGUUACCUGUUGGUGCCAGGAGUUGUUGUUUCAUUUGCUGGGAAGCUUCCAGAGAGCUCUGCAUUCCUGUCAGACCCAUAGUUCCCUGGCUGGAGAGAGUGGAAUGACACACAGAACCUCAACGAUGCAAGGAACGGGCACUGAGUGAUAUCUGGAAAGUAAUACUGAGAAGUUAACUCAUAUGAAGAAGCAUAUGUGGAUUACAGAAAAGAAAGGAGAUUACAACUCAAUGCCAGGAAGCAGGCUGAUACAACAUAAGAGGAGAUGAAGAGAGAAAAGAAGAUAGAAGGAGGCAAACAUGCCAUUGCUUUGCAGCUGCAGGGGAGAGGAGAAUGUCCUCCUCCACCACAGUUCAGAAGAUGUUCCUCUGAGGUCUGACCUUUCCUGUUUGAUUACAACGUGGGAAGCCACUGCUGAAGCUCAAUAAGCAGAUGGAGCAGCCAUCUCCAAAGCAGCCACAGGCUGCCCUCGAGCUCACAACCAUUCGCAAUCUCUCUACUUAGAGGCCAACCAGCCGUUCUGCUCCAAGCAGCAAGCUUAAGCGGAAGUGCACGAGCAGAGAUUCUUCAUACUCAGAAGGAAUUUCAUGCAGAAGCAGGAGAACAGCCCAAGGAUCACAGCUCAUCCUUCCUUGCUUUUUAGACAAGAACUUUUAAAAUGAAGUGUGGUGCUGCAGUGGAAUCUACCCUGUACUUGGUAUGCAUCGCUUUGAUGAGGGGUGUGCUGAGCUCAAUAUCUUCUAUUCUGUUGGUUUUCUAGAUAUUUCAUGUUUAAUUUCCAAAUAAACAAUUAGUAUGAA
Non-coding RNA from Coturnix japonica (Japanese quail), 11161 nucleotides. Lineage: Eukaryota; Metazoa; Chordata; Aves; Galliformes; Phasianidae. The record is from RefSeq and is a predicted model, not a curated record.